CAGCCGCCGCGGGAAUACGUAGGUGGCAAGCGUUGUCCGGAAUUAUUGGGCGUAAAAGGCUCGCAGGCGGUUUCUUAAGUCUGAUGUGAAAGCCCCCGGCUCAACCGGGGAGGGUCAUUGGAAACUGGGAAACCUGAGUGCAGAAGAGGAGAGUGGAAUUCCACGUGUAGCGGUGAGAUGCGUAGAGAUGUGGAGGAACACCAGUGGCGAAGGCGACUCUCUGGUCUGUAACUGACGCUGAGGAGCGAAAGCGUGGGGAGCGAACAGGAUUAGAUACCCGGGUAGUCCCUGUCUCUUAUAC
This 301-nucleotide ribosomal RNA is filed under the name uncultured bacterium. RNAcentral describes it as "partial 16S ribosomal RNA". It matches the Rfam family "Bacterial small subunit ribosomal RNA", at positions 509 to 807 of the family's 1533-position model. The record is from RNAcentral.